Molecule: long non-coding RNA, 314 nt
Filed under: Selaginella moellendorffii
Lineage: Eukaryota; Viridiplantae; Streptophyta; Lycopodiopsida; Selaginellales; Selaginellaceae
Description: long non-coding RNA (SMOE_LNC000372)
Source: RNAcentral
CAGCGCGCUCGAGGCCCGGACGCCAUUGUCGCGGCUGACGAGACAGUAGGAGAACUUCCGGCUGGAGAGCUGGGAUGGAAACGAGAGCUUCCCAGCGCCGAGGCCGAGAAGCCCCGCGGCGCCAACGAAGAGUCCCUCGUUAUCGUGGCCACAGCCGAAGACCACCGGGCUCGUUCGGCCUCGGCUAACCAAGAAGGAGUCCGAGGCGAGGUCCCCGACCGUGAAGGAGCCAUCGCCGUACGAGACCUGGUAGAGGCAGCGAUUGUCCGUACUCGCGCAAGCUUUGACGUCGAGGAGCUUGCACUGCGGCGUGG